RNAcentral lists this ribosomal RNA (253 nucleotides) under uncultured bacterium. RNAcentral's name for it is "partial 16S ribosomal RNA". It matches the Rfam family "Bacterial small subunit ribosomal RNA", at positions 524 to 776 of the family's 1533-position model. The record is from RNAcentral.
UACGUAGGGAGCAAGCGUUGUCCGGAAUCAUUGGGCGUAAAGCGCGCGUAGGUGGCUUCGUAAGUCCGUUGUGAAAGUCAAAGGCUCAACCUUUGAAAGCCGAUGGAUACUGCGGAGCUAGAGUACAGAAGAGGCGAGUGGAAUUCCUGGUGUAGCGGUGGAAUGCGCAGAUAUCAGGAGGAACACCAAUAGCGAAGGCAGCUCGCUGGGACGUUACUGACACUGAGGCGCGAAAGCGUGGGGAGCGAACAGG